GGGUGUAGCAGAACCAGCAACGAACAAAUCUGGAGACUUCUGGACUCGAUCGAAGGCCCUUGAUGAAAUCAACCUGGUUGCUGUCUUCUUCGUCAGCCUUUCGUUCCAGAUGAAGAACGCCUCUAAGAUCACCUCUAAAAAAUCUAAGAUCUGGUACCCAAUCAGAUUAGGCCUGGACCGAGGUUUUUCAAUUUGUAGAUCUUGAAUCAGGAUAUUCUAGAUAGAAAAGAAGGUAGAUAGAACCAGACCUUGUAGAUCUAUCCUGCUGCAGCCUUUCCUAUAGAUCUGUUGAUGGAGAUCUCACCCGCACCUCAAACAACCUCAGAUCAACUCCAGAUCUGAUAGAAACUUGUACCAACCUCAUAGCAAGAGAUUCCAAAUCCUAGACAUGAUGUUUGGGUG
This 402-nucleotide long non-coding RNA is filed under the name Elaeis guineensis (African oil palm). RNAcentral's name for it is "long non-coding RNA (EGUI_LNC033704)". Lineage: Eukaryota; Viridiplantae; Streptophyta; Magnoliopsida; Arecales; Arecaceae. The record is from RNAcentral.